UGCCACUGGUUUGCUGGGUGACCUUGGGCAAGUUGCUGCACCUCUGUGCCUCAGUUUCCCCCUCUGUAAAUGGGGAGAAGGACAAUUGCCUCUUUGGUAAAGCACUUUGAGAUCUACUGAUCAAAAGAGCUAGAAGAGCUAAACUGCAUGGAUGCCAUUCUUUGGCUGUGAUAAAUCAAUCAGAGAGAGUCUGCAACUGAAUCAGGAAACUGAGUCUACUGUGUUUCUUGGGUCAUCUGCCAUAGCCCCAGUAGUCAGGGGACUGCACAUUGAGUCGGUGGGAAGGCUUGUGGUGUUUCGAUGACCCAAGAGGUAUGCCAGCAGGAUUUUAACUCCUGGUAGGGCAACCCAUGGCGGACAAAUCAAAGUGCAGAGACCAAUCAAACAGCAGCCCUCUGGUCCUCCAGGUUGGGUGUUGAGCAAUAGGCCAAUACCCUAUCAUCAUCAAAAAGUUACAGAAACAACAAGGUAGAUAUUCCAGCAAACAGCACGAUAGUCUGUGGAUGGUGGAGCCUUGCUAGUGCCCUAAGGUGGCCAACUGCAAUAGAAGGAUUCAGAUUCAGACGUAUGUAUUGAUUAGUCAUGUGUGAUACUCUUAAGACACUGGCACUAGACUAAAAUAAUUGGUAUUGUAUUAGACAAGUUUCAGACACAUAAACUCUCUUCCCAGUAUGAACUAGCAAAAGGCCAGUGCACAAGGAAAAAUCCCUGUGAAAGCUUAUU
Long non-coding RNA from Mauremys reevesii (Reeves's turtle), 723 nucleotides. RefSeq lists it as uncharacterized. NCBI's taxonomy places the organism in Eukaryota, Metazoa, Chordata, Testudines, Geoemydidae. The record is from RefSeq and is a predicted model, not a curated record. The transcript has 3 exons.